AGAAGCAAUUUUUAGCGUAUCAGAUAUUGCUUAAUAAACUGAGACUAAAUAAGGGUACUAGAUAAUCUAGGUUUAAACUUUAUUUAUAUGCCAACCCCCUACCCGUACGGGAGGGGGAAGAUAUAGUCUACACUUGUAGGAAUACAAGA
Molecule: non-coding RNA, 149 nt
Filed under: Candidatus Daviesbacteria bacterium GW2011_GWA2_42_7
Lineage: Bacteria; Candidatus Daviesiibacteriota
Source: RNAcentral